This is a non-coding RNA of Lysinibacillus sphaericus OT4b.31, 95 nucleotides long. The record is from Rfam. Lineage: Bacteria; Bacillati; Bacillota; Bacilli; Caryophanales; Bacillaceae.
AGGGCAGUAUCCUUUUGUGAACGGCACCUUCCAACACGUAAGACAAAUUUUACAACAAAUAUCUGCCUUGAUCUUUUAUAGACAGGGACGGAAGA